Non-coding RNA from Rhamnusium bicolor, 72 nucleotides. Lineage: Eukaryota; Metazoa; Arthropoda; Insecta; Coleoptera; Cerambycidae. The record is from the annotation of a GenBank genome assembly.
GCUUCGUGGUCGAGUGGCAAAGAUAUUUGCUUCUUAACCUGACAUCUCGGGUUCGAUUCCCGGUCGAGAAUU